UGACUGUCCUCAACAGUGCGGUUGCCUU
RNAcentral lists this non-coding RNA (28 nucleotides) under Mus musculus (house mouse). The record is from RNAcentral. Lineage: Eukaryota; Metazoa; Chordata; Mammalia; Rodentia; Muridae.